This 497-nucleotide ribosomal RNA is filed under the name uncultured bacterium. Its description in RNAcentral is "partial 16S ribosomal RNA". It matches the Rfam family "Bacterial small subunit ribosomal RNA", at positions 28 to 507 of the family's 1533-position model. The record is from RNAcentral.
GAUGAACGCUGGCGGCGUGCCUAAUACAUGCAAGUCGAGCGAACGGACGAGAAGCUUGCUUCUCUGAUGUUAGCGGCGGACGGGUGAGUAACACGUGGAUAACCUACCUAUAAGACUGGGAUAACUUCGGGAAACCGGAGCUAAUACCGGAUAAUAUUUUGAACCGCAUGGUUCAAAAGUGAAAGACGGUCUUGCUGUCACUUAUAGAUGGAUCCGCGCUGCAUUAGCUAGUUGGUAAGGUAACGGCUUACCAAGGCAACGAUGCAUAGCCGACCUGAGAGGGUGAUCGGCCACACGGGAACUGAGACACGGUCCUGACUCCUACGGGAGGCAGCAGAAGGGAAUCUUCCGCAAUGGGCGAAAGCCUGACGGAGCAACGCCGCGUGAGUGAUGAAGGUCUUCGGAUCGUAAAACUCUGUUAUUAGGGAAGAACAUAUGUGUAAGUAGCUGUGCACAUCUUGACGGUACCUAAUCAGAAAGCCACGGCUAACUACGUG